GUUGGACAAGUUUCCCUUCAAUCGGCGCUACCCCAACUCUAUCACGUAUAUCAUCAUUCCGGAUUCGGUCCUUCCUUGUGUGGCCACACAUUUAUCUCAACAUUUGCAUCUCCGCCAUCCCUAAUUGUUGCACAUGUCGUCUUUUAAUCGACCAACACUCCACACCAUACAACAUUGCGGAUCGAAUCGCCGUCCUAUAUAAUGUUAUUUUUAACUGUCUCUACC
Molecule: long non-coding RNA, 225 nt
Filed under: Hordeum vulgare
Lineage: Eukaryota; Viridiplantae; Streptophyta; Magnoliopsida; Poales; Poaceae
Description: long non-coding RNA (HVUL_LNC003215)
Source: RNAcentral